GAUGAACGCUGGCGGCGUGCCUAAUACAUGCAAGUCGAGCGAACGGACGAGAAGCUUGCUUCUCUGAUGUUAGCGGCGGACGGGUGAGUAACACGUGGAUAACCUACCUAUAAGACUGGGAUAACUUCGGGAAACCGGAGCUAAUACCGGAUAAUAUUUUGAACCGCAUGGUUCAAAAGUGAAAGACGGUCUUGCUGUCACUUAUAGAUGGAUCCGCGCUGCAUUAGCUAGUUGGUAAGGUAACGGCUUACCAAGGCAACGAUGCAUAGCCGACCUGAGAGGGUGAUCGGCCACACUGGAACUGAGACACGGUCCAGACUCCUACGGGAGGCAGCAGUAGGGAAUCUUCCGCAAUGGGCGAAAGCCUGACGGAGCAACGCCGCGUGAGUGAUGAAGGUCUUCGGAUCGUAAAACUCUGUUAUUAGGGAAGAACAUAUGUGUAAGUAACUGUGCACAUCUUGACGGUACCUAAUCAGAAAGCCACGGCUAACUACGUGCCAGCAGCCGCGGUAAUACGUAGGUGGCAAGCGUUAUCCGGAAUUAUUGGGCGUAAAGCGCGCGUAGGCGGUUUUUUAAGUCUGAUGUGAAAGCCCACGGCUCANCCGUGGAGGGUCAUUGGAAACUGGAAAACUUGAGUGCAGAAGAGGAAAGUGGAAUUCCAUGUGUAGCGGUGAAAUGCGCAGAGAUAUGGAGGAACACCAGUGGCGAAGGCGACUUUCUGGUCUGUAACUGACGCUGAUGUGCGAAAGCGUGGGGAUCAAACAGGAUUAGAUACCCUGGUAGUCCACGCCGUAAACGAUGAGUGCUAAGUGUUAGGGGGUUUCCGCCCCUUAGUGCUGCAGCUAACGCAUUAAGCACUCCGCCUGGGGAGUACGACCGCAAGGUUGAAACUCAAAGGAAUUGACGGGGACCCGCACAAGCGGUGGAGCAUGUGGUUUAAUUCGAAGCAACGCGAAGAACCUUACCAAAUCUUGACAUCCUUUGACAACUCUAGAGAUAGAGCCUUCCCCUUCGGGGGACAAAGUGACAGGUGGUGCAUGGUUGUCGUCAGCUCGUGUCGUGAGAUGUUGGGUUAAGUCCCGCAACGAGCGCAACCCUUAAGCUUAGUUGCCAUCAUUAAGUUGGGCACUCUAAGUUGACUGCCGGUGACAAACCGGAGGAAGGUGGGGAUGACGUCAAAUCAUCAUGCCCCUUAUGAUUUGGGCUACACACGUGCUACAAUGGACAAUACAUAGGGCAGCGAAACCGCGAGGUCAAGCAAAUCCCAUAAAGUUGUUCUCAGUUCGGAUUGUAGUCUGCAACUCGACUACAUGAAGCUGGAAUCGCUAGUAAUCGUAGAUCAGCAUGCUACGGUGAAUACGUUCCCGGGUCU
Molecule: ribosomal RNA, 1372 nt
Filed under: uncultured bacterium
Lineage: Bacteria
Description: bacterial SSU rRNA
Rfam family: Bacterial small subunit ribosomal RNA
Source: RNAcentral